Molecule: ribosomal RNA, 3206 nt
Filed under: Saccharomyces cerevisiae YJM1418
Lineage: Eukaryota; Fungi; Ascomycota; Saccharomycetes; Saccharomycetales; Saccharomycetaceae
Description: 21S ribosomal RNA
Rfam family: Bacterial large subunit ribosomal RNA (bases 186-3046)
Source: RNAcentral
GUAAAAAGUAGAAUAAUAGAUUUGAAAUAUUUAUUAUAUAGAUUUAAAGAGAUAAUCAUGGAGUAUAAUAAUUAAAUUUAAUAAAUUUAAUAUAACUAUUAAUAGAAUUAGGUUACUAAUAAAUUAAUAACAAUUAAUUUUAAAACCUAAAGGUAAACCUUUAUAUUAAUAAUGUUUUUUUUUAUUAUUUUUAUAAUAAGAAUAAUUAUUAAUAAUAAUAAACUAAGUGAACUGAAACAUCUAAGUAACUUAAGGAUAAGAAAUCAACAGAGAUAUUAUGAGUAUUGGUGAGAGAAAAUAAUAAAGGUCUAAUAAGUAUUAUGUGAAAAAAAUGUAAGAAAAUAGGAUAACAAAUUCUAAGACUAAAUACUAUUAAUAAGUAUAGUAAGUACCGUAAGGGAAAGUAUGAAAAUGAUUAUUUUAUAAGCAAUCAUGAAUAUAUUAUAUUAUAUUAAUGAUGUACCUUUUGUAUAAUGGGUCAGCAAGUAAUUAAUAUUAGUAAAACAAUAAGUUAUAAAUAAAUAGAAUAAUAUAUAUAUAUAUAAAAAUAUAUUAAAAUAUUUAAUUAAUAUUAAUUGACCCGAAAGCAAACGAUCUAACUAUGAUAAGAUGGAUAAACGAUCGAACAGGUUGAUGUUGCAAUAUCAUCUGAUUAAUUGUGGUUAGUAGUGAAAGACAAAUCUGGUUUGCAGAUAGCUGGUUUUCUAUGAAAUAUAUGUAAGUAUAGCCUUUAUAAAUAAUAAUUAUUAUAUAAUAUUAUAUUAAUAUUAUAUAAAGAAUGGUACAGCAAUUAAUAUAUAUUAGGGAACUAUUAAAGUUUUAUUAAUAAUAUUAAAUCUCGAAAUAUUUAAUUAUAUAUAAUAAAGAGUCAGAUUAUGUGCGAUAAGGUAAAUAAUCUAAAGGGAAACAGCCCAGAUUAAGAUAUAAAGUUCCUAAUAAAUAAUAAGUGAAAUAAAUAUUAAAAUAUUAUAAUAUAAUCAGUUAAUGGGUUUGACAAUAACCAUUUUUUAAUGAACAUGUAACAAUGCACUGAUUUAUAAUAAAUAAAAAAAUAAUAUUUAAAAUCAAAUAUAUAUAUAUUUGUUAAUAGAUAAUAUACGGAUCUUAAUAAUAAGAAUUAUUUAAUUCCUAAUAUGGAAUAUUAUAUUUUUAUAAUAAAAAUAUAAAUACUGAAUAUCUAAAUAUUAUUAUUACUUUUUUUUUUAAUAAUAAUAAUAUGGUAAUAGAACAUUUAAUGAUAAUAUAUAUUAGUUAUUAAUUAAUAUAUGUAUUAAUUAAAUAGAGAAUGCUGACAUGAGUAACGAAAAAAAGGUAUAAACCUUUUCACCUAAAACAUAAGGUUUAACUAUAAAAGUACGGCCCCUAAUUAAAUUAAUAAGAAUAUAAAUAUAUUUAAGAUGGGAUAAUCUAUAUUAAUAAAAAUUUAUCUUAAAAUAUAUAUAUUAUUAAUAAUUAUAUUAAUAAUAUAUAUAAUUAUAUUAUAUAUUAUAUAUUUUUUUUUAUAUAAUAUAAACUAAUAAAGAUCAGGAAAUAAUUAAUGUAUACCGUAAUGUAGACCGACUCAGGUAUGUAAGUAGAGAAUAUGAAGGUGAAUUAGAUAAUUAAAGGGAAGGAACUCGGCAAAGAUAGCUCAUAAGUUAGUCAAUAAAGAGUAAUAAGAACAAAGUUGUACAACUGUUUACUAAAAACACCGCACUUUGCAGAAACGAUAAGUUUAAGUAUAAGGUGUGAACUCUGCUCCAUGCUUAAUAUAUAAAUAAAAUUAUUUAACGAUAAUUUUAUUAAAUUUAGGUAAAUAGCAGCCUUAUUAUGAGGGUUAUAAUGUAGCGAAAUUCCUUGGCCUAUAAUUGAGGUCCCGCAUGAAUGACGUAAUGAUACAACAACUGUCUCCCCUUUAAGCUAAGUGAAAUUGAAAUCGUAGUGAAGAUGCUAUGUACCUUCAGCAAGACGGAAAGACCCUAUGCAGCUUUACUGUAAUUAGAUAGAUCGAAUUAUUGUUUAUUAUAUUCAGCAUAUUAAGUAAUCCUAUUAUUAGGUAAUCGUUUAGAUAUUAAUGAGAUACUUAUUAUAAUAUAAUGAUAAUUCUAAUCUUAUAAAUAAUUAUUAUUAUUAUUAUUAAUAAUAAUAAUAUGCUUUCAAGCAUAGUGAUAAAACAUAUUUAUAUGAUAAUCACUUUACUUAAUAGAUAUAAUUCUUAAGUAAUAUAUAAUAUAUAUUAUAUAUAUAUUAUAUAUAAUAUAAGAGACAAUCUCUAAUUGGUAGUUUUGAUGGGGCGUCAUUAUCAGCAAAAGUAUCUGAAUAAGUCCAUAAAUAAAUAUAUAAAAUUAUUGAAUAAAAAAAAUAAUAUAUAUUAUAUAUAUUAAUUAUAAAUUGAAAUAUGUUUAUAUAAAUUUAUAUUUAUUGAAUAUAUUUUAGUAAUAGAUAAAAAUAUGUACAGUUAAAUUGUAAGGAAAACAAUAAUAACUUUCUUAAAAAUAAUUAUGGAAAGAAUUAAAUUAAUAUAAUGGUAUAACUGUGCGAUAAUUGUAACACAAACGAGUGAAACAAGUACGUAAGUAUGGCAUAAUGAACAAAUAACACUGAUUGUAAAGGUUAUUGAUAACGAAUAAAAGUUACGCUAGGGAUAACAGGGUAAUAUAACGAAAGAGUAGAUAUUGUAAGUUAUGUUUGCCACCUCGAUGUCGACUCAACAUUUCCUCUUGGUUGUAAAAGCUAAGAAGGGUUUGACUGUUCGUCAAUUAAAAUGUUACGUGAGUUGGGUUAAAUACGAUGUGAAUCAGUAUGGUUCCUAUCUGCUGAAGGAAAUAUUAUCAAAUUAAAUCUCAUUAUUAGUACGCAAGGACCAUAAUGAAUCAACCCAUGGUGUAUCUAUUGAUAAUAAUAUAAUAUAUUUAAUAAAAAUAAUACUUUAUUAAUAUAUUAUCUAUAUUAGUUUAUAUUUUAAUUAUAUAUUAUCAUAGUAGAUAAGCUAAGUUGAUAAUAAAUAAAUAUUGAAUACAUAUUAAAUAUGAAGUUGUUUUAAUAAGAUAAUUAAUCUGAUAAUUUUAUACUAAAAUUAAUAAUUAUAGGUUUUAUAUAUUAUUUAUAAAUAAAUAUAUUAUAAUAAUAAUAAUUAUUAUUAUUAAUAAAAAAUAUUAAUUAUAAUAUUAAUAAAAUACUAAUUUAUCAGUUAUCUAUAUAAUAUCUAAUCUAUUAUUCUAUAUACU